UGAGUCUUGUGAUACUCCCCCCUAAAAGGUAUCGACUACAAAUGUAUACAAGUCAUCAUAUUUUGAAACGUUGUAAGACCACACUAAAAUCCUCCACUAGAAAGGGACCCAGUCUCAUGAUACCCUCCUUUAAGUGGGAUUGACUAUAAUUUCUACACAUUGACGUAUCCUUAAAAUGAGUAGGACCAUGCUAAUCUUUUCCCUAGAAAAGGAUUGAGUCUUGUGAUAAUCUCCCUAAGUGUAUCCUUAAAAUGAGUAGGACCAUGCUAAUCUUUUCCCUCUUGUGAUAAUCUCCCUAAGUAGGAUUGAUUGCAAAUGUCUACACACCAACCUAUCCUGCAAGGGAGUAAGACCAAGUUAAAAUUCUCUCUAGUAAUGAACCAAGUCUUGUGAUAUGAAGAUGAGAAAAAUACAAAAG
RNAcentral lists this long non-coding RNA (418 nucleotides) under Lathyrus oleraceus (garden pea). RNAcentral's name for it is "Pisum sativum (pea) long non-coding RNA (PSAT_LNC017354)". Lineage: Eukaryota; Viridiplantae; Streptophyta; Magnoliopsida; Fabales; Fabaceae. The record is from RNAcentral.